UUCCCCUGCCUCACCGAUUUCAGGCUGGCUCAAGUCCUUCACAUCGCGCAGGCAGCACGGGCUGCCCUAUCCUCCUUUCCUGAAGGAGGAUUUAGCAGUGCCAGCAAUCCACUGCAUUUUUGGAGAGUGUGGGGCGAGUUCUGCACUGAUUUACUGCACUGCAGUACAUGGAAUCCAUUGGUGUUGGCCAGGUGACACAAGAUCACAUGGAGCAGAACUUAGAACCAGUGUAUUCUUACUGCCUGUUAUCUAUUAGUUUGCCUAAUGUCCAUAUAAAGAGCUUUUUUGACUUAAACCCCUUGUGUCUAACUGGAUAAGAAUAUUUUAGCUUCAGAUAUUAUAUAAUAACAUUUUAUAUGCAAUUUAUGAAUGUUAGACAAUCAGCGGUGGCAUUAAGUAAUAUUUUUCUGUGGUUUGUUUGGGGUUUCUUUCCUUUUCUGUUUGUUUGAGAAAGCUCAUUGGACAAAAUCUUUUGAAUACAAGGCAUGAUCAUGCGUUUAGCCUUUUCUGCAGAAAAAAAAAUUAAAAAAGAACUUUAGAGAAAGAAUACUUGAGUAAAAAUUGCUUGGGUAGAAGGAAAGUCCUUUGCAAUGACAACUUAUGAGUUCUAAACUUUCCUUUUUCUGCAGCUUUUUCACUUGGUCUUAUAAAAACAUCCUCUGCCCCUGCAAGGUUUGCUUGUCACUGUAACACCAGAGCUGAUAGACACUGCCCACUUUAACUCAAAACUGUCAUCGUCAGAUCAAUGUGAUGGCUGAGAUGAGAAUAAUUCAGACUUAAACUAUCCAGUGCCUAGGAUUUAGAAUGACUAAUGGCUUUGAAAUAAAAAAGUCAAUCAAUUCUACAAACAUGUCAGGCAGUCGCCAGAAUUUCAAUUUCUGGUUUUGGUUGGAAACAAAUCUGGCACUGUUCAGGCUGAUGCAGAAUCCAGUUUUAUUUUCACUAAUUCCAGUCUCAAAAAUGAGCCAAGAACCCUGCAGAAACACAGGCCUUACUCCAAUUGUCAGAUUAGUAAGGGCUUACACGGACAUGGAUCAGGCUGCUUUUGCAGGUUGGUGCAUAGAUUGAGAAGAUAAUAACCUAAAGAUAUCAUUCAGGCAAGAUUUAAAACUCUGCUUCAUUUUACAUGUGUAGGCAGUCUCGAAGAGAUCAAUGGGAUUACCCACGUGCAUAAAGUUAAAUGCACACAUAAAUCUUUGUGAAGCUGUGACCCAAGGGUCCAGCCUUGUAUUUAUCUUCAAUAUAGAGUUUAGUUCUAGAGGCAAUUUCAUUGAUGACUUAAAUAUGCUCACACUCAGUAGUGUCUCAUAUUCAUGGCUGCAUGUGUCUGAUUGAUCAGGUCCUUAAAAAACGUGUGGAGUGGCAGAAAAGAGAAGUUUUUUUUCAGUCUGUUCACUUUCAGUAUUGUGACUCCAACCAGCUUUAAAUCCUUCUCUUGCCUUGCAUUUUUACUCUGAAAAGGCAGAAGAUGUUCAUUAGUGCUUAAUUAAUGUGAUUUUUCAGUCUUCAUCAGGACUUCCAAUUCCACCACAUAUGGUUCUUAACUUUAGUUUAUAAUUAGAUUUCUAGUGAUAAAUUGGUCUCCCCUUUACCCAAGUUCAGAUUAAAACAUAUUUGAUUUUUUUUUUUUUUUAUUAUGACUGGUUUAGUGUUCCCUUUCCUGUAGGAAUUUCCUUUCCCUUUCCCUUUCCCUUGGCAAAUGUGAUCUACCCUCAUGUAGCUGCUUUGGUUUUGACCCGUUGACACUCACUGAUGUAUAUUCAAGAAUCUUCAAUUAAAUGUAACUGGGCUCAACAGA
This is a long non-coding RNA of Corvus hawaiiensis (hawaiian crow), 1798 nucleotides long. RefSeq lists it as uncharacterized. NCBI's taxonomy places the organism in Eukaryota, Metazoa, Chordata, Aves, Passeriformes, Corvidae. The record is from RefSeq and is a predicted model, not a curated record. The transcript is spliced from 2 exons.